GUCCCGGACAUGACGAUAAACUGUCUGCUGCUUCGCGCCGCGCCGGACUGAUCACCGGCGGCUCAACGGCGCAGGCGGGUACAACUUAAUAUCUUUAAAAUUCAGCUGCCUUUUGAGCGGGAAGCUGCAGACCGGAACGGAGAAAAAAUCUCCCUCGGUAGGCGGUUUGUUUGCUAUACCUUUUUUUGCGGCUGACUC
RNAcentral lists this non-coding RNA (198 nucleotides) under unclassified sequences. RNAcentral describes it as "DUF2800 RNA". The stretch from base 28 to 198 matches the Rfam family "DUF2800 RNA". From Rfam's summary of the family: Actinobacteria, Firmicutes, Synergistetes (1 example). Terminator (Clostridia) The record is from RNAcentral.